Molecule: long non-coding RNA, 3501 nt
Filed under: Nicotiana tabacum (common tobacco)
Lineage: Eukaryota; Viridiplantae; Streptophyta; Magnoliopsida; Solanales; Solanaceae
Description: long non-coding RNA (NTAB_LNC000331)
Source: RNAcentral
AGUGAUUAUUUAAUGUUUUAUAGGUAAUUAUCAAUAUUAUACCAUAACCAUGGAUAAAUAGGUGAAUAUUAUUUGACAAUUACUCAGCAAUACCAUAUGCUUAUAUUAUCACAUAAUACUAUUAUUCACCAUAAGUAUAUUCCUAUAAUACCAAUAUACUAUAAUAAAUAUAUCAUUACUUAAUAUAGUAAUGAUAUAUAGUAUUGAAUACUAUAUUGGUUAUUAUUAUGUUGAUAUACCGAUUAUACAACAAUAGUAUAAAGAUUAAUAUUCACGUUAAUACAUAGUUUUGUUAUAAAAUAUUACAAUGUAUAUUUUAUGUAAAUAUAUUAUUUGACCAUAUAUUUAGUUAUGUUAACUAUAAUAGUUUCUAUACAACAUACUAUAGAUAUUAAUAGUAAUUCAUAGAUAUAUACAUAUAGUUAUAUAAAUUGUAACUUACAUAUUAUAACUGUUUUAUACUAUAUAAGUUAAUUACGAGUAAUUUGUACCCAUGAUAUAUUUACUAUAACUAUAUACAUAAUUAUAGGUUAUAUUAUUAACAUAAUAUAUAAUGUACAAUUGAUACUAAUUGUACGGAUUAUUAUUAUGUAUUGUGAAUAUUAUAAUAUUAUAAUACUAUAUUAUAGCGAUGUAUAUUAUUUAAUAAUUAAAUAGUGUUAUGUAAACUAUCAUUAGCAUACAAUAUUAAUAUAGUUGGGAUAUAUUAACUAUAUUAGGUAAAUGUAAUUAACUACUUAUAAUUAUAUACAUAUAGUUAUAUAAAUAUGAUAUAAUAAUAUUUAAGAUAGUUAUAUGAUUUAUAAUAUGAUUAUAAAUCAUCAUAACUAUAUAUCAUAAUAUAAUAAUUAUUAUAAUAUAUUUAUACUAUUGGAUACUAAUUAUAUCAUAUGAUAAUUGAUGAUAACAUAAUAAUAUUUCAGGUUGACUUAUAUGAUUAAAUUGUGGUGAAUUUACCUAUAUUAGAUUUAUAGGUACCAAUUAAAAUAUUUAUCCAUAUACUUAAAUAUACGUAUCAUAUAUACUUAAUAUAGGUGAUAAUAUAUAAUGUAAUUAAUAGUAUCCAUAAUAAUUAUAGUUAAAUGAUACUAUAAGUAAUAUUGAUUAAUGAUAUACACUAUUGAUUUAUAUUACAUAUAUAAAUAUUACUAAUUGUUAUACAUCCACAUAGAUAAUUAUUUAAAUUAACAAUAUAUAUAAUUAUUAAUCAUUUAUUAAUAAUUAUAAUAGUUACUAUAAUUAUUUAAUCUUAGUUAUACGUAUAAUUAAUGUGACCAUGUAUUAACUGUAUGAUUUCAUGAAAUUAAUACUAUAGUAUAUGCUUAUACUAUAGUUCUAAUAUGAUAUUAGGUAUAUUAAAUAUAAUUACAUAGUAAAUAUAUUUAUGUAAUAUAUGCUAAGGCAUUAUUGUACUCAUAAACACAAUAAUAUAGUUAUGAUUAUGUAUAAUAUAUGACGUAAGGGAUAAUCAUAAACCUAAAGUCAAAUAAUAUUGUGUUAUAGGUAUAUAACUUAAUGUUGUUAAUACUAUGAUAUAAAUUUAUUUAAUUUAUUAAUAAAAUGUUAUAGUAAUAUUAUAGUAAAAUACUAUAUAACGACUAUAUAGUAUAUUUAUCUAAUAGGUAUUGACUGUGUAUUUGAUAUACUAAAAUACUAAAAUAUUUUAAUAUACCAUUAAUCAAGUAUUAUGAUAACAAUUAAUAAUAGUAACCUACAUAUAUCGUAACUUAUAUUAAUAUUAUUAUGAACAUUAUACAUUAUCCUAUUACUAUUAUAAUAAUAGGAUAUAUAUCAUAAGUAUUAUCUUAAUUAUAUAUAAUAUUGUGAUAUUAUCAUAACAGUGAUGAUAAUAUCAUGUUACGAUUAUACUUACCAUAUAUUAUCAAGUGUUUGUCUAUUUACCAUCAUUAUAAAUUUAGCCAAUACCUAGUUAUUUACCAUAUUAGUAAUAUGGUAAGUUAUACUAUCCUAAUAAGUUUAACUAAUAUACAUAUUAGUUGUAUAUUAAUAUACGUAUCAUUAUUAUAUAUACAUUUAGUUAAUUAAAUAAUAUAGUAGGCAUAUAUUAUACGUAUUAAUAUACCUAUUGAUAAUAUGGUAUAUUUUGUAAUAGUAUAUACAUAUAUUUAUCUAUGUAUUUAUGAGCAUCAAACAUGGGUGAAUUAGAGUGUACUAUAAUGAUACUAAAUUAACCCAUAACUGUAGUGAAUAAUAGGUAUAUUAAUAGGUCACUAGUACAUUAUGAAUAGUUAAUAGAUAUUACUAUGGAUACCAUAUAUCUUAUUACAUAGUUAUAAUUUAUGGGUACCAUAGAUUAUCUUCAUAGGUUAUAGUAUGAUGGUAGUUAAUAUUCAUUAACUACCAUUAUAUAAGUUAAUUACAUAUUCUUAUAUUAUACUAAUUUAUAGGUAAUUAAUGAUAAUAGCAUCAUUGUGAUUAUUACAUAUAUGNAUGGGUACCAUAGAUUAUCUUCUUAGGUUAUAGUAUGAUGGUAGUUAAUAUUCAUUAACUACCAUUAUAUAAGUUAGUUACAUAUUCUUAUAUUAUACUAAUUUAUAGGUAAUUAAUGAUAAUAACGUCAUUGUGAUUAUUACAUAUAUAUGGUAUACUAGUAUAAAUAGUGGUAUGUAAACUAUUAUGGUAAUAUAUCAAUUACCUCACUUGUAUUGUAUAUUACCAUACAUAUAUACAAAUAAGAUAACAAUAUAGUCAUUAUAUAUUGGAAUCGUACGGAUCAAUAUUGAGAUAUAUUACAAAUAUCAAUAGUAAUAUCUAUUGAUAUAUUAUAUAAUCACAUAUUAACGUAUAUACAUAUUACAUAAUAUGUAAUAUGUAGUUAUUAUAUUACUAUUAAUAUAGUAUAUUGACUAAAAUAUAUAGUUAUAUGAUCAUAACUAUAGUUUAUGCAAGUUAAUAAUAAUUAGGCAUAUAGUGAUUAUAUUAUAGUAACCGUAUGGAGAGUAUUCAUAUGUGUAUUACCAUAUAGGUAUAACUAACCAUAUAAUGUACUAAAUAAUAAUAAUAAUACUAUAUUAUUAUACAUAGUCAUUAUGCUAAUAAGUAUAUACUAUACCAAUAGUUCUCGGUAAUCACUGAUAAUCAUACGUAAAGGCAUAAUAUAAAUAUCAUAUGUAUUAUGCACAUAUGAUAAUAUAUACCUUAUACUAUAGUAUAUUAAACUAUGAUAAUCGUAUCAGUGUAACAUAACUUAUAACGAUAAUUAGAGCAUAAUGGAUUAUAGUGAACUAAACUGACUAUGACUGAUAACUAAAUGUUCAAUCACCAAUUCUUAUAUAAAGAGAAUGAUAUACGUACAACAUAUAAGUAACAUACUAACAUAGGUUACCUAAUAGGUGAAUAUAAUUGUACCUAUGAUACCACACGAGUUUACGGUACUCUUAGUCAGUUCAUAUAAUCUAUGGUACUAAAGAAUUGAGGUAUUUUUAUGACUUGUGUGUUAAGAGGUCAUAGAAAAGCCUAUUUACUCAAUUAUAUUGCCUU